This 252-nucleotide ribosomal RNA is filed under the name uncultured bacterium. Its description in RNAcentral is "partial 16S ribosomal RNA". It matches the Rfam family "Bacterial small subunit ribosomal RNA", at positions 524 to 775 of the family's 1533-position model. The record is from RNAcentral.
UACGGAGGGGACUAGCGUUGUUCGGAAUUACUGGGCGUAAAGCGCACGUAGGCGGAUUUGUAAGUCAGGGGUGAAAUCCCGGAGCUCAACUCCGGAACUGCCCUUGAAACUGCAGUGCUAGAAUCUUGGAGAGGCGAGUGGAAUUCCGAGUGUAGAGGUGAAAUUCGUAGAUAUUCGGAAGAACACCAGUGGCGAAGGCGACUCGCUGGACAAGUAUUGACGCUGAGGUGCGAAAGCGUGGGGAGCAACAGG